AAAAAAAAAAAAUCUUUUACACAUAUUAUAAAGAUAAUUUUAACAUAAUGAGUGGUUAUAUGUUAGAAGAAACUUGUAGAAGAUAGUUUUCUACUAGAAUUUUAGGAUAAUUUGAGAAAUGUUUUUGUAAGUAAAUUUCCCCUGAAUAAUAUUUUAAAUAGAUUGUUACAUAAAUGAAUCUAACCAGCUAGUCUAUAGCUAGGGGUUGGGAGGACUGCUGGAUUGCAAAGUAGUUUGAAAACGAGUUUCUACAGUUUUAGCACAUUUAACAUUUUUAAUCAAAUGAACAAGGAAAUGUCAGUUUUCUCAUUUUCUUUGAAUCACAAACUUCAGAUCACUCUAAUCUACCGAAAAGCUAUUAAAUGAGUUUGGUCUGUUACAAGAAAUUUUGCUUGCUCUAUCAAGUGCGACCUGAGGCAGGCUUCAAGAGCUUUAAUUGCCGGAUACGUUCCAGCUUACCAGCAAAGGGAAUCUAAGCUGCUGGGCUUACAGAGUUACCCACUAGUAAGUUGCCUAAGCUUACUUAAAAUUGAGAGAUUUACAAUUGUCAGACUCUGUGCUUAGUUUGGAAAUAAAGAUUUAUAGGCAUAAUCCUUGACUUCCAAGUUGUUCGUUGACCUUAUAUCUAGUGCAUUGGAUGCUGAAGAUGUAAUAGGUGUGGAGGAAGAAACUUGGGCUACUGGGAAGGUUGCUGUAGCAGCACUGUGCAGGAUGCAUGAAAAGGGGAGAUGAAUACUUGGUGUCAGACUAGUCAGCUGGUUUCUGGUGUGGUCCAGUUGACAGCUAAGCUGAGGAGGGCUUGCAGAGCAGUAAGCCUAGAAAGGAAAGGGAAUUUUGAAAUGUUUAGGAAAGGGAAGUAAUAAUCUCAAUUCCUGCCUCGUGUGGAUGAAAAGACAGAUAAAUGAGUUUUGUCCAGUCAGUGCUUUCAUUAUGUAAACCCUGAUUCAAAAUCUUAUGUCUGCCACCAAGGCCCCCAUUUUUCCUUCACCCAUCUGACAAAAGUAUUUAGUUGAAGAAUCUUGUUUCUCAAGCUGGAUUUUACUUCAUUCCCCAUUAUCAUUUAUUCAGAUUUUAGUCUGCAGGAGAAAUCCAUUGUGCCCCUACUAAACAGCCAUUAGUUCCAGAAAAUGAUAAAAGGUAGCAUUUGAUGCUAAAUUAAUUCUUUUAGCCUGUUUCCCUUUGGCUUUUUCUAUUACUGAAAAUAGUUUAAAUGUAAAAAGACUGCCUUUCUGAGGUUGCUGGUAAGACCAAGCAUUGGGAGGUAUUUAAGUAGAGCAACAUACAAGCAGCGAAGGGAGGGAUCCAAGAAUUCUCAGCUCUGCGAAGCUCCCCUCAUGCAAAGGACUCGCGCUGUGUGUUGUUCAGUGUGGUGGCCUCUAGCCAUGUGUGGCUUUUGAGCAUUUGAAAUACGGCUGUUGUGACUGGUACUGAAAAAUAUAUUUUUUUUUUGUCAAGCAAAACAAUGAUUUUUAUAGGAUCACAUUUAUCUUUUAAUUGUUGCAUUGUGUAAGAGAACCAUUGCCUUGCUUGCUUGUAUUACACAUAAACACAUUGCCAGAUGAUAUCAAAGAAUUGACUUCAUUCUAACAGUAUUUUGCUACUAACCAAAGUAACAUUAUAGUGUUUAUCUAAAUGUUAUAUGCAGUUACUGUGCCUAUGUAAAUCCUAAUUAGUAGUUAAAGUGAGAUGUAUGUUCUUAUUUUUCUAAUUUAAAAAAUAUAGACGGGGCCAGGUGCGGUGGCUCACGCCUGUAAUCCCAGCACUUUCGGAGGCCGAGGCAGGUGGAUCACGAGGUCAGGAGAUCGAGACCAUCCUGCCCAACAUGGUGAAACCCCGUCUCUACUAAAAAUACAAAAAUUAGCCAGGAGUGGUGGUGGGCACCUUAGUCCCAGCUACUCGAGAGGCUGAGGCAAGAGAAUCAGGUGAACCUGAGAGGCAGAGGUUGCAGUGAGCCGAUACCGUGCCAAUGCACUCCAGACUGGCAACAGAGGGAGACUCCAUCUCAAAUAUAUAUAUAUAUGUGUGUGUGUGUGUGUGUGUGUAUAUAUACACACACACACACAUAUAUACCUGUAUGCACAUAUAUAUACACAUGUACACAUAUAUAUACACAAAUAUAUAUACAUACAAAUUAUUAAAUUUAAAAUCAGUGGUGGCUCAAGCCUGUGUAAUCCCAGCACUUUGGGAGCCCGAGGCGAGUGGAUCUCCUGAGGUCAGCAGUUUAAGACCAGCCUGGCCAACAUGGUGAAACCCCAUCUCUACUAAAAAUACAGAAAUCAGCCCAGAGUGCUGGCAGGCGCCUGUAAUUCCAGGUACUCAGGAGGCUGAGGCAGGAGAAUUGCUUGAACCCGCGAGGUGGAGGUUGCAGUGAGCCAGGACCGUGCCACUGCACUCCAGCCUGGGCGACAAGAGCGAGAAAAAAAAAAAAAAAGUUUAAAAAUCAUGUAUUUGCUAAUGAUUAUUUGCUGAAUUGUGAAGGAGUUUUAAUGAUUCAUUGUCCUAUUGAUUCCAAUUUAAGAUUCUUUUGCAACAAAAGGAAUGCUAACGUGUAUGCAAUAAUCUAAAGCAGAAAAUGUCAGAGUCUGUGGCGCACAUUUUCUCACCAAUAUCACACUGAAUAUGAAUGAACUAAAGUUGAAGCUCCAAGGAAGGGAAAAGCUUAUUUGUGAUGUUCACAGACAGGUACAAGAAUUUAUGUUGAAAUCGAAACUUUAUAAUGCAAAUCCAGAAUAUGGCUUUGACACAUUUUCUAACAUUUAAAAUUUUAAUUGUAAUUUAACAUUUUAUAAAUUGCAAAAACUACAAGUAAAAUUUGAAGAACACUGUUGAUACAUAGAUAAAUUUAGAGUAGCUGCCAAGCGUGGUGGCUCACAUCUGUAAUCCCAGCACUUGGGGAGGGCAAGGCAGAAGGACUGCUCGAGGUUGGGAGUUUAAGACCAGCCUGAGCAAUACAGGGAGACCCUGUCUCAGAAAAAUAAAAUUUAGAGUUUUUUAAAUUAUGCAUUACCCCUUUGAAUUUGAUGUUCAUAUUCUAGAGUCAAUGCAAGUAUUCAUGAGUACUUAGAGAGAAACAAAUAGGUUUGCUACAAAGUUCAGUAGAUUCCUAUAAAACAGAAAUAGCAGGUUUGUUGAUAUGGGUCCAGAAAUGUUUUUAAAUGAUUUUGGGGAUUUGAUUCAAUUAUAAAACAAGUAUAAUUGUUGCAACUUUGGUAUGUGAAUCAAUUUUUAAGAUUCAACUAUAUGAUAUUUAUAGGAGAUGCACUUUAGAUGUAAAGGUUACAAAUAGGCUGAGAGUACAAGGAUGGAAGAAGAUGUCAUGCAAACAGGAACUAUAAAAAUUGGAGCUAUCCUAACGUCAGACAAAAUAGACUAGGAAACAAAAAAUGUUCCUAGAGAUGAAGGAUAUAUCUUCUAAUGAUGAACAACAGCAAACAACAAAGCCCCAAACUACAGGAAGCAAAAGCUGACAGAUUGGAAGGGAGAAAUUGACAAUUCAGCAAUAAUAAAUGGAAAUUUCAGUACCUUUCUCUCAAUAGAACAACUAGGCAGAAAUCGAUGUUAAUAGGAAACACCAACUGAACCUGAUAGAGAAGUAAAACAAUACCAGAAUAUACAUUUCUCCCAGGUGUACAUGGAAUAUUCUCUAGGGCAGAUCAUAUGGGAUGCUAUAAAACAAGCCAUAAUAAGCUCAAAAGGAUUGAAAACAUACCAAAUAUAUUAUCCAAUCAAUGAAGUGAAACCAGGGAAGUUUGAAAAUAUUUUGAAAUAAAUGAAAAGACAAUAUACCAAAACAUGGGAAGCAGUGAAAGCAAUACUUAAAUUUAUAAACACAUUUUAAAAGAAGAUUUUGGGGC
RNAcentral lists this long non-coding RNA (3854 nucleotides) under Homo sapiens (human). RNAcentral's name for it is "HSALNT0098967". The record is from RNAcentral. Lineage: Eukaryota; Metazoa; Chordata; Mammalia; Primates; Hominidae.